This 651-nucleotide ribosomal RNA is filed under the name uncultured bacterium. RNAcentral's name for it is "bacterial SSU rRNA". It matches the Rfam family "Bacterial small subunit ribosomal RNA", at positions 241 to 895 of the family's 1533-position model. The record is from RNAcentral.
UCAGCUUUGUUGGUGGAGGUAAUAGCUCCCCCAAGGCUUAUGACGGGUAGGGGGUGUGAGAGCAUGACCCCCCAACAUUGGCACUGAGACACUGGCCAAACACCCUACGGGUGGCUGCAGUCGAGAAUAUUCCACAAUGGGCGAAAGCCUGAUGGAGCGACGCCGCGUGCAGGAUGAAGGUAUUCGUAUUGUAAACUGCUUUUCUUAAGGAAGAAUUUCGAUGACGGUACUUAAGGAAUAAGAGGUUACUAACUCUGUGCCAGCAGUAGCGGUAAUACAGAGACCUCAAGCGUUAUCCGGGAGAUUAUUGGGCGUAAAGCGUGUGUAGGCGGACAUAUUAGUCGUGGGUUAAAUCUCCGGGCUCAACCCGGAAACCGCUCACGAAACGGUAUGUCUUGAGAAAGUGAGGGGUUCAGUGGAACUCAUAGUGUAGUAGUGAAAUGCGUUGAUAUUAUGAGGAACACCUAAGGCGAAGGCAUCUGACUGGCACUUUUCUGACGCUCAGACACGAAAGCGUGGGUAGCGAAUGGGAUUAGAUACCCCAGUAGUCCACGCCGUAAACGAUGCAUACUAAGCAUAUGGAGAAUCGACCCUCUGUGUGUUGAAGCUAACGCGUUAAGUAUGCCGCCUGGGAAGUACGAGCGCAAGCUU